AGGACUGACAGGGAUGUGCCGCUGAAGCAUCUGUGUGUCUGGUUCUUGCAGGAGCACACAUCAUGUGUGAUUUGGCUGGAACAGUGAGUUCCUGAUUUGCAGACCUCCUAGAUCCUGCCUACCCACAGGAGAGGGGAUUGCUGAGUGAUGGAACAGUGACACAUGAAGGUGACAAAUGUCUCAGAAUGUUACAUAAGCAAGAUGAAAAGAGAAAAGGAAGCAGAGGAG
RNAcentral lists this long non-coding RNA (228 nucleotides) under Zonotrichia albicollis (white-throated sparrow). RNAcentral describes it as "lncRNA (ENSZALG00000000635.1)". Lineage: Eukaryota; Metazoa; Chordata; Aves; Passeriformes; Passerellidae. The record is from RNAcentral.